GGAAUGGUGCUCGGCAUAAAAACUGGGCGAAGCCCAGUCCCAGAUGUGAGUUCGUCUACAGAAUGGGGGUCCUGGGGGGCUGAGGCGGAAGAACUCCCUGAACCGCUAGAGGCAGAGAUGCUGGAAGACAUUUCGAACGACUUCAGAUGAAAGACCUAAAGAUCCCAGAGAAAUCGGAUGGGACAAAGGAUGAGAGGUUGCAGGAGACCAAAUCGGAGGAAUACGAUAGGAGAAAAUGGAGGAGAAAAGGCCCCCUAGGUGGCAAGAAGAAAAAUGAAGGUUCUGGGACUAACCUAGAUCGUUCUGG
Molecule: long non-coding RNA, 307 nt
Filed under: Elaeis guineensis (African oil palm)
Lineage: Eukaryota; Viridiplantae; Streptophyta; Magnoliopsida; Arecales; Arecaceae
Description: long non-coding RNA (EGUI_LNC075038)
Source: RNAcentral